This is an unclassified non-coding RNA of Fukomys damarensis (Damara mole-rat), 262 nucleotides long. Its record names the gene 7SK. It matches the Rfam family "7SK RNA". From Rfam's summary of the family: 7SK was discovered as an abundant small nuclear RNA in the mid-70s but a possible function has only recently been suggested. Two independent studies have found that 7SK RNA binds the CDK9/cyclin T complex (known as elongation factor P-TEFb). NCBI's taxonomy places the organism in Eukaryota, Metazoa, Chordata, Mammalia, Rodentia, Bathyergidae. The record is from Ensembl.
AGAUGUGAGGGAGAUCUGACUGUGACAUCUGUCACCCCAUUGAUCACCAGGGUUGAUUUGGCUGAUCUGGCUGGCUAAGUGGGUGUCCCCUUUCUCCCUCACCACUCCAUGUGCAUCCCUCCUGAAGCUGCACUCUUGGUCCAAGAGGACAACCACCCCCCGAUAGAGGAGGACUGUUUCCUCGGUCUCCUGCUAGAACCUCCAAACAAGCUCUCAAGAAGCAAAAUCCAACAAUAAAUUGUAUACUAGAAACACACCUAGU